Hyaena hyaena (striped hyena) is the source of this 772-nucleotide long non-coding RNA. RefSeq lists it as uncharacterized. Lineage: Eukaryota; Metazoa; Chordata; Mammalia; Carnivora; Hyaenidae. The transcript has 3 exons. The record is from RefSeq and is a predicted model, not a curated record.
UGGUGGAUAGCCACUCUGCUCUCUCAGAACCUGUCUACAGGGAAGUUUACACAUGGGAGCACUCAGUUAAGAGAUGAAAAGACUCCUGAUGCCAUGGUUUGGGCACCCAGAUACAGCCGUUCCUAAAGUCCCGUAGGCAGCCACACCUUCCACAUAUUCCAUGACCAUGCAGAGGUGGCGCCGGGUCUCGAAGGAGCAGAACAUGCCGACCACAAACGGGUUCUCAGCGAAGGAAAGAAGCCUAUGAAAUAAUCACCUUCAUAUACAAAGAGCUUCCAGAAAUCAAUAACAAACAACCCACCCAUGGAAGAGAAAAUACAGACAAGAUAUGCAAACUACAAUUAGAGCUCUUAACCAUAUGAAAAGAUGCUGAACCUCACAUAUAGUGGCAGAGGGCAAAUUAUAACUACCCCAAGGUACAAUUUUUCACCUAGCAGAUUGGCCAAAAAAAAAAAAAAAAUCCAAACGGCUGACACGUUCUGGGUAAAGCUGUGGAGGAACAGGUACUUUUAUACCUUCCUACUGGGUGUGUAAAAUGGUACAGCCUCCACGGAAGGUACUCUGACAUAAAAGAAUUGUAAAUGCAUGUUCCCUUUGAUCCAGUAAUUUCAUUUUUGAAUUAUUGCUACAGACACGCAUGUGAAAAAUCACAUAUGUAUUAUCUCGCUCAUUGCAAGACUGGAAACAACCUGUAUGUUUGCCUUUAGGAAACUGGUUAAAUAAACACAUGAGAGGCAUCUGUGUAGAGGAAUGCAGGGCCACUGUUGAAAAG